This 492-nucleotide ribosomal RNA is filed under the name uncultured bacterium. Its description in RNAcentral is "partial 16S ribosomal RNA". It matches the Rfam family "Bacterial small subunit ribosomal RNA", at positions 29 to 507 of the family's 1533-position model. The record is from RNAcentral.
AGUGAACGCUGGCGGUAGGCCUAACACAUGCAAGUCGAACGGCAGCACAGUAAGAGCUUGCUCUUACGGGUGGCGAGUGGCGGACGGGUGAGGAAUACAUCGGAAUCUACUUUUUCGUGGGGGAUAACGUAGGGAAACUUACGCUAAUACCGCAUACGACCUACGGGUGAAAGCAGGGGAUCUUCGGACCUUGCGCGAUUGAAUGAGCCGAUGUCGGAUUAGCUAGUUGGCGGGGUAAAGGCCCACCAAGGCGACGAUCCGUAGCUGGUCUGAGAGGAUGAUCAGCCACACUGGAACUGAGACACAGUCCAGACUCCUACGGUAGGAAGCAGUGGGGAAUAUUGGACAAUGGGCGCAAGCCUGAUCCAGCCAUACCGCGUGGGUGAAGAAGGCCUUCGGGUUGUAAAGCCCUUUUGUUGGGAAAGAAAAGCAGCAGGUUAAUACCCCGCUGUUCUGACGGUACCCAAAGAAUAAGCACCGGCUAACUUCGUG